GAUGAACGCUAGCGGCAGGCCUAAUACAUGCAAGUCGGACGGGAUUUGGGAGCUUGCUCCUAAUGAGAGUGGCGCACGGGUGCGUAACACGUAUGUAACCUACCUUAAUCAGGGGGAUAGCCUCUCGAAAGAGAGAUUAACACCGCAUAAUAUAUUUUUAUGGCAUCGUAGAAAUAUCAAAUAUUUAUAGGAUUAAGAUGGGCAUGCGGAACAUUAGCUAGUUGGUAAGGUAACGGCUUACCAAGGCUACGAUGUUUAGGGGAUCUGAGAGGAUGACCCCCCACACUAGUACUGAGACACGGACCAGACUCCUACGGGAGGCAGCAGUAAGGAAUAUUGGUCAAUGGGCGCAAGCCUGAACCAGCCAUGCCGCGUGCAGGAAGACGGCCCUAUGGGUUGUAAACUGCUUUUGUACCGGAAUAAACCCUUUUACGUGUAAGAGGCUGAAUGUACGGUAAGAAUAAGGAUCGGCUAACUCCGUGCCAGCAGCCGCAGUAA
RNAcentral lists this ribosomal RNA (498 nucleotides) under uncultured bacterium. RNAcentral's name for it is "partial 16S ribosomal RNA". It matches the Rfam family "Bacterial small subunit ribosomal RNA", at positions 28 to 523 of the family's 1533-position model. The record is from RNAcentral.